Molecule: ribosomal RNA, 305 nt
Filed under: uncultured bacterium
Lineage: Bacteria
Description: partial 16S ribosomal RNA
Rfam family: Bacterial small subunit ribosomal RNA
Source: RNAcentral
ACAGCAGUCGCCGCGGUAAUACGAAGGUGGCUAGCGUUGUUCGAAUUUACUGGGCGUAAAGGGCGCGUAGGCGGACUGAUAAGUCAGGGGUGAAAUCCCAAGGCUCAACCUUGGAACUGCCUUUGAUACUGUUUGUCUUGAGUUCGAGAGAGGUAAGUGGAACUGCGAGUGUAGAGGUGAAAUUCGUAGAUAUUCGCAAGAACACCAGUGGCGAAGGCGGCUUACUGGCUCGAUACUGACGCUGAGGCGCGAAAGCGUGGGGAGCAAACAGGAUUAGAUACCCCCGUAGUCCCUGUCUCUUAUAC